This 200-nucleotide ribosomal RNA is filed under the name uncultured bacterium. Its description in RNAcentral is "partial 16S ribosomal RNA". It matches the Rfam family "Bacterial small subunit ribosomal RNA", at positions 524 to 720 of the family's 1533-position model. The record is from RNAcentral.
UACGUAGGGUGCGAGCGUUGUCCGGAAUUAUUGGGCGUAAAGGGCUCGUAGGCGGUUUGUCGCGUCGGGAGUGAAAACCUCGGGCUUAACUCGGGGCUUGCUUUCGAUACGGGCAGACUGGAGGUAUGCAGGGGAGAACGGAAUUCCUGGUGUAGCGGUGGAAAUGACGCGAGAUAUCUGAGGGAAGGAACCGUGCCCGG